UUUGCUUUCAUGGCAGUGACCACAAGGUGUACACUGAGUCAUUCAGGUUCUCGAUUUCUCUCUGGUUUUAGUUUUUGUUUUUGCUUGUUUUGUCUUGUUUUGUCUUGUUUUACACUAGUGAAGAUAUUGGUGUGGUGAAGGGCUGUGCUCUGUUGAUGGCCCAGACUGUAAACCAUUCAUUACACACUUUUAUUCAUUGCACAUGUUUAGCAGUGACUAUGCGGUGAGCAAGAUGCUAGGACACUGGAGGAUGCAAAAGGAAUGAGAUAUGACUCUAACCUACAAUGGCUGAUGCCUCACCAGGAUAAAUACAAAUUUUGGUUGUUAGAAAGUGGAAUUGGAACAAGAAAUAUUUAGGUUAUUCUGGGGAGGAAAUGAAUCAGCCGGGUUACGUUCAGCUUCAUGUAACAGAAUUGCUGGCCCAAAGUGGCUUCACCACAGGUGGCUAUGAUGUCGCCAACAAGGAGUCCGGAGUCAGGAGGCUCCGGGGUUGAUGAAUUCAUCCUGUCGGCAAGGGCAGGCUUUCAUCAGCUCCUCUGGGAUUCUCCUUCCUCUUUCCUCACAGUCUCACUGUGGCUGCUACAGCUGCGAACAUCACACACUCACUCUACCAGGUCAAAGGCAGAGAGCGAUGAUUGAUUCCUACUGCCUUUCUUUCUUAGUUAAAGAGACAAAACCUUCCCAGACACCACGUUUCUCCUGCAGCAGGCGUCCUCUCAGGCCCUAUUGGCCAGAACUGGGUCAAGUGCCCUCCUCACCCCCAACCAAUCCUGGCAAAGAGGAAGGGCAGGACCAUGACUGGUUUUCUCCAGUCACAAUUCAUUCCCCCGAAAUGGGCCUACUUUCUCUGAGCCCAUUGCAUCAGGAGACCAGAACAACUUACAUUUUAUUUAUUAGUAUUACCACUAUUCAGUGUCAAAAAGAAGAAACGACUGCUGGAGAAAAUACCAACAAUGUUUGCAACAGGAGGCGAGAAGGUCAAGGACCAAAAGUUCAGGUAUAGAAUGGAUUGUCAUUAUGGAAGCAGAAGUCACAGAAAAUACACAGGGGUGUAGUGGCCAGCAGCGAGCAGGGCUAAAGUCUUCAGUGAUGACCACAGGGACGCAGAAGGAGCAGACCACUGCGUAGGAGGAGUGAUGGGUGCCGUCCAGGAAGGUGCUUCCACUUUCUCAGAUGGGCAGCCUUCUCCCUCUUUGGCCCUCGACCCCUGGCGUGAGGACCCUUCCUCUUCUUGGAGUCUCGCCUCCUCUGUGCUUGCCCCAGGACACCUGGAGCCUGCCCACCCUCUUCUCCAUCUCCCCUCCCCCGCCAUGCAUGCCGUCCUCAGAGCCGGCCAUCAGACGGGAGAGGCCGGGGCAGCAAAUAGAACAGUUGCAGCGUCAGGACCCAGGCCUCCAGUGGUCACCAUGGAACCCCUGGGCGGAACUUCAGUGAUGGGCAGGGCCCGGGGAGGACCCUGCCGGCUCUCCAUCCCCGAGGGUCCUGGGGCACUGGGUAGGGCUGCCUGCGUGGCCGGUCGCCGCACCGACUCCCAGGGCUCCACGUGUGAAGUGAACGCUCAGCCACUGGGGGGAGGGAGCCGGACACUGUAAGGCGCACGGGCUGCGUGGGCAGCGAGCCCUCCUGUAGGGACACCCCGUUGGCGUCCAGUCGGGGUGAUGACAUAAGGAGGAGGGGGUGAGAGCCGCCGGGCCACUGGUCAGGGUGAGCUGUGACGUCACAGGAGGCGUUGUGACGGAGGGGCGGUUAUAAAAGCCGGGGCGCGGGCCCGGGGCCUGGCUAAGGGUAGGGGUGGCCCCUCGGUGGCAGCUGCGUGCGCCGCCCGGCCUGUAGCCCACACGGCGCGGUGCGCUCCGUCUGCGUGUUCGUCCACCUGCGCGCCCCUCUGCGGCCGAGUCCCAGCCCCGCACUCCGGGACCUGCCCGUGCUCCUCGCCUCCGCGGCCUCUUCGGCGGGGGAACCAGUACAGAGGACCCUCACCCAGCGAAAAGCCCUCCCAGGCCUCGCGGAUAAGCGCCGGGCGGCAAGAGUGCCCCGGGGGUCCCGCUGACCCAGCGCAGCACAGGGCAGCCGCCGGCCCCGCUCUCGUCCUCGGGACCACCCCACCACCAGCACCACGUGCGCAGCGGGUCCAGCCCCAAGGUUUCCUGGAUGUCCCCGAGUCCUCGCCUGCGCCUGGCGAUCAGCGCCUCUGCCAGGCCCAGAGGUGGCUGGAAGAGGCUGCUCCCUAGCAGAAGACGUCAUUCCGAUGUGGUGUGCCCAGAAGAUGCAGAGGGUAAGGAGAGCGGCUCAGGAACUCAUGCUACCUGGCAGCCCUGGCCCUGGGCGUGUCCCUGGUUUCCCGGUGGUUCCCCAACCUCCGGAAAGGAGAGAACCAGUCCCCCGGCCCCUCCCGCCCACCAGGAUUCUGUCUGUAAGACGGAAGCCAGGAGAUGGCCAGGAAGGACAACCUGAACGCAGGCAAGUGGAGUGUCUUGACCCAGUAACAGACAUCAGAGGCCACCCAUCCAGGCGGAAAUCCAUCUCCAGUGGAGGGCCGAUCAGGGGCCAUCUGCGAGGGCAGGUUGCUCCUUCUGUCCGAGGCAGGCUUGGAAAGGUCUGUGCAGGACAGUGCCAAGGCCUGGCCAGGGUUUGGAGCCAUUCAGAGCGCAGGCCCCUAACGGGUCACUGGGCCAAGGUGCUUGCGGGGCUCGUGGCCUGAAGACCUUUGUCCUGGGACCGACACCAGCCUGGUGUCCUGGUGGCAUACCACUUGGGGACCCUUCUUCUUCUGGCUCAGAGGGAGCAAAGGCUGCGUGCGUUAGAACAACAGAACGACGAGAAGUGGGAAGACCUGUCCGUGGACAUCCAACUUAUGGAGGAAGGCACGCCGGACUCUGAGGGGAAGCUGGAAUUGACCAAAACAGCUCUUAACACCUUCGGGGAAAUUAGUGAAAUCUGUCUAAGGGAGUGUCUGAGCUGAAGGAGUCCCUGAAACUGUGUGCAGAAGAAAUCAAAGCUGGAAAACCUGCUUGUCAUCUUGGAAGGACACGCUUUAAAGAACUUGCCAGAGGACCAGGGCUCCCUGGACGUGGCCUGAGAUGAGAGCAGGGAGAGGGGACACCAAGGCUCCAGGUGCACCUCCUCCUGGGCGGUGGGCCCCUCAGCUCCUGGGCCUGUGGCUGGAGCUCAGGCGUCAUCCCCCAGGACUCCCCAAGGGAGCCCAGGCGGAGGGCGGCGAGCCGAGGACGGGCCAGCUCUGCCGAUGGGCUGUACCGACGUGAGUGCUGACGGAUCCAGGCUUUGAGAGGAGGCCAGCACUGCACCCAAGCGCCCCCGGAGAAAAGGAGCAUGGGAGACCACCAUGUGUGCAGGGUCCUUGGGCGGAGGCCUCGCCUCCCCUCCAACGGGUCACCUUCGACGCUUUGCAGGGAGCCCUGUGUUGCUGGUACAGGGAAGCCGGACCUCCCAGGACCGAGGGCCCCAGAACGAACAUCUAAAUGGAAAAUCCACUCCCUUCUCCACACGUCUGGAAGAGUGAAGACUUUCCUUGGGGUCAUGGUGCAGGCGCUAUGGGCAGACUGGGCGCCACACUUGCUAGUGACAGAAUCAGCCAAGUUUCUAGACGUUUUGAUUCCUUUCCCCUUCUGUUAUCAGUAUUCAUAUGCACAUGGCUUCCAUUUAUUUUUCAGGACAAACCAGUUAUUAAUGGAAACAACCUUGGCAGCCGGAGCAAGUGUCCUGACGUGUUGGGUUAUCAUUUUAUGCACCAGGGCACAACUGGCUGAGCACGGGCCCAGGAGGUCUGCUCAUGCCCCUCCCUGGUCCCCACUGACCCUCUGGGUCUCGUCUAAUGGGGGUCACCCUGGAUUUGCAUCCUCCAAGAUGCAGCAAGACCUUCUGUGACUUUAGCACAGAAUUCUAAGCACGGGGCCAUCUUGGCCACAGCUGGAGUGAUUGACAAGCACAGUCCCACAGGGGAAAGGAGAGAACAGAACACCCACCUCCCUUCUCCUUAUGUCAGACCACACGGCAGGCCAAGGUCGCAAGGCCCCACGUCGUGUCUGAGAUGCUCCAUCCAGAGUCUGUCCUGAGGACUCGGAGAUGAUCUCACAUCACAAGUCCCUCGUAUUUUAUUUUACAACAAAUGAUAAUAUUACCAGGCCAGCUGCACCUUCCCAAAGGUCGGUAGCAGAGAGGGAGCCUGCCUUGGGUGGGGCCUAGCCUCACGGGGAGGGGCGAGCGCAGGGCAGACAAGAGGUCCACCUCACCUCCAGGUCUGCAGGGCCGGAGUGCUCGCUGACCCCUCACUGCCUCCUGCGACAGAGUCACCCUGUCAGUCCCCCUCUGUACCUGGAGAAACGGGCAGGCAACGUAAGUCUGCCAGGUGGCCCGCAGGUAAGGGGAGGAGCCUGGUGUGACCGGUCCUCACUUGCACCGCUGUGGCCCCUGCCCACCCACAGGUCAGUGCCCACGCUUGUCAGCCUUGGGCGUGCGGCAGCGACAGUGGCAGCGAUGUCCAGAUGGAGCAGGGACGUCUGUGCCACCAGCCAGCGUGUCCAGGGGCUUCCACUCUGAUCCAGGGGUUGGCACGGCCCCCAGCACUGGCUGUAACCUCCAGGCCCCCCGUCCACUUCCUUCUGGCACUGUGCAUCUUCCCUUCUGGGGACUUGCCUGAACCCACAGUCCUCCCCCGCCUUUGAGUCCUGGAUUUCUCUUUCCUUUUUUCGUUGAGGAGGAAUUCACAUAAUAUGAGCCGACUUAGAGUGUACAGUUAUUGGCAUCUGGCACAUUCACAGUGCUGUGCAACCACCACCUCCGUCUGGUUGCAGAACAUGUUCAUCCCCCCGACAGGGAGACCCCUGCCAUUAGGCGGUCACUCCUCAUUCUGCCUCUCCCAGCAACCGCUAGUCCACUCUCUGUCCCGUGGAUUCAGCUGUUCUGGACAUUUCAUAUCAAUGGAAUCAUACAACGUGUGACCUUUCCCGUCUGGCCUCCAAGUGGCGUGUUUUCAAGGGUCAUCCAUGCUGUAGAAUGUGUCAGUACAGUCACGUGUCGCUUAAUGAUGGGGACACGUUCUGAGAACACGUCGUCAGGGGGUUGCUUCACGGUGCAAACAUCACAGUGACCUUACACAACCUAGAAGCUACAGCCUACGACACCCGUAGGCUACAUGGGACCACUGUGGUACACACGGUCUGUCGUUGACCGAAACGUCAUUAUGUGAUGCGUGACUGUCCUUCAUUCAUUUUUAUGGCUGAAUAAUAGUCCAGUAACAUCCACUGUAUGGAUGGAGCGCAUCUGUUUAUCCGUUUGUCAGCUGGUGCGUGUUGGCGUUGUUGCCACCUUUGGCUGUUAAGGCUGCUGUGAACAUCUGUGUAAAAUUUUGGUUUGACAUCAGUUUUCAGUUCUUCCGGGUAUGUACCUGGGUGUGAAAUUGCUGGAUCACGUGGUAAUUCUGUGUGUAACUUUUUUUUUUUUUAAUUUUAAUUUUUUUUUUUUAAAGAUUUUAUUCUUUCCUUUUUCUCCCCGAAGCCCUCGGUACAUAGUUGUAUAUUCUUCGUUGUGGGUCCUUCUAGCCGUGGUAUGUGGGACGCUGCCUCAGCGUGGUCUGAUGAGCAGCGCCAUGUCUGCGCCCAGGACUCGAACGGACGAAACACUGGGCCACCUGCAGCGGAGCGCGCGAACUCAACCACUCAGCCACGGAGCCAGCCCCUCCGUGUGUAACUUUUUGAGGAACCUCCACACUGUUUUCCGCAGCCCCUGCCCCACUUUUCAUUCCCACCAGCAAAGAAGGAGGGCUCCCACUUCUCCACACCCUCACUAACACUUGUUAUUUUCCACUUUUGGAUGGAGGCCAUCCUAGUGGGUGUGAAGUGGCAUCUCACUGUGGUUUUGAUUUGCAUUUCCCUAGUGACUAACGCAGGGGAGGUGAAAUUUCUCCCUUACCCUCCUGGGGUUUCUGGCUAGGACUGACAUGAGACAGAUUAAUAGCAGAAAACCAUUCAAGUCCUAUUUAAUAAGUGUACAUGUAUGUGGGAUCCUCACAGGAAAAUGAAGACCCAAAGAAUUGACAAGGCCUAAGUACUUAUAAAGCGGGUUGAACAAAGAGGGGCAACUGUGGAAAGUAACUAAAAUAUCUGGGGAGCCUAAGGGAGACGAGAGUGUGGCUGCACAGAGCUCCCUUGGCCCUGUCUCCCCGCCUCUGGUGAGAAGAGUUUCUCUCCUCCCAGGACGGGUGUGCGUCUUCCACGCGGGGCUUCCAUCUCCUGCUUGCAGGAGGCGAAGUGGAGGUUGGAGCGCCCCUCCUGCGCCCGCUGUUCUUCAGGUGCCUUUGGCUCAAAGUAGUUAGGGUGCCGAGGAGGCAUGUUUGGAGUGGUGUCCUGACGCCUUGUUAAUGAUGCUGAGCGUCUUUUCACGUGCUUACUGGCCGUCUGUGUAUCUUCUUUAGAGAACCGUCUGUUGAAGUGCUUUGUCCAUUUCUUAAUGGGGUUGUUUGUCUUUCUGUCUUUGAGUUACAAGAGUUCUUUUAUAUUCUAGACCCUAGAUUCUUAUCAGAUGUAUGACUUGCAAAUAUGUGCUCCCAUCUAUAGCUUGUCUUUUCACCUUCUUGAUAAUAUCCUUUGAUGCACAGAAGUUUUUAAUUUUGAUAACAUCCCACCUUUCUAGUUUUUCUUUCGUUACCUGAGCUUUUGGUCUCAUUAUCUCAGACUCCAUUGUCAAAUCGAGGCCUAGAUUUCUUGGGUGAAGUUUUUUAUUUUUUCCUUUUUCUCCCCAAAGCCCCCCGGUACAUAGUUGUAUAUUCUUCGUUGUGGGUCCUUCUGGUUGUGGCAUGUGGGACGCCGCCUCAGCGUGGUUUGAUGAGCAGUGCCAUGUCCGCACCCAGGAUUUGAACCAACGAAACCCUGGGCCGCCUGCAGUGGAGCGCGCGAACUUAACCACUCGGCCACGGGGCCAGCCCCGUCUUGGGUGAAGUUUUGCCCUGACAUCUGUGUCCUCAGCUCUCGCUGGUCUGUGCUGCAUCCACACUGAUGUCCAGGGACUUACCUGGGUCCUUUCCCUCUCGGUUCUGCUGAGCACGCUUGCCCCUGCACUUCUCCGGUUCCUCCAGGUCAGCAUGGAUCCUGAGCCACAGCCCCUUCCCCGGCCCCUUGGCCCUCACUUGCUCCUCACACCCCACCAGGAUGUUGGCUCCGGUAUUCGGUGCCGCGGUGCUGGGCACUUGGGCAGUGCUCGGCAGCUCUUCACACGCCCAUGCUGAAGCUCGGGCUCGGGUGUCUGGCGCCAGCAGAGACACUGGGCGCAGAGCUGGCUCUCGUUGUCUCACAGGCUCCUCGCUGACCCAGCUCCCAGCCCUGCGGGGCCCCCGUGACCGCCGCAGCGCCAGAUGGUUCAACGAACACAUAAUUGAGCCCCAGGAGGAGAGGAAGAGUGAACGGGGCAGGAAGAGAGAGCGAACAUUUUCCCGUGUUCACGAUGCCCCACGAGCACAGAAUCCCGGGCCCCGCGGGUGUGGGGGCUCCGCAAGACUGCGAGCGAGUACCCGGGAGUGUGUUACAUCAGGGAGUGAGGAGCGGGGCCUCGAACUCCAGAGAGGCCGUGUCUUCUGUCCCACCCAGGACAUGCUUCCAACACGGAAAGGCGGCCACGGAGCUCGAGGAAACGCCUACCGGCAAGAGAGCCUGCCAUCGCUUUCCUGUCCCUGCUGCUUCUCCAUGUUGGCCGAGUGCCGAUGCUGGAGGUGAGGCCAGAGGAGGAGAAGACGGGCGCCCGCAGUUCCUUUCCUCCCAGAGCUCCCGUGUCCCAGGCUGGCUGGGAUGUGCUCGGAGCAGACAGGAGGCGUGACAGCUACAUCCAUUCUGCACAGCCUUCCCCGUCCCGAGAGGAGUGAAAAAUGCACACGCACGGAUGAGCUAAAGACACAGAUUGUGGGGUUCAGCCAUUCUGCGUGAGAGUCACAGUUCUUAGAUUUGCAUUUAAAUCCGGCAUCGCACAGUGUAACAAUGACAGUAAAAUUCAUGCUGAGGAUUUCAAAUCUUCCUUUCCUCGAAUGACAUUAAAGGCAAAUAAAAAAACACUGAGACAAGUAGAGAGAUCACGGAAGAAAGGGUCCGGGAUGUGGAUUCGUUUCUGCCAAUUCCAUGUUGAAUUGAAGACAAAGAUAACAGGAGCAGGUACAUGCAUUGUCAGUUGCUCUUCCAGCAGCUGUAUGUUUAUCCUCUAGGAUUUGUUUUCUUUUUUUUUUGGUGAGGAAGAUUGUCCCUGAGCUAACAUCUGUGCCAGUUUUCUUCUAUUUUGUGUGUGGGACACUGCCACAGCAUGGCUUGAUGAGCAGUGCUAGGUCCAAGCCCGGGAUCCAAACCUGCAAACUACUAGCCACCAAAGCGGAGCACACGAACUUAGCCACGAUGCCACUGGACCGGCCCCAUCCUCUCCUUUAGUAAUCACUGUAACUUGUGAGCAGGACACAGUUGGAAACAUUGGUUAUAUUACCAAGGCUUUGACUGGAAUGUCGCAUUUGAGAAAAACAUGCAGACUUAGAUAUGGCAAGAUGGCUUUUGAAGAACAAAGGUUGACUUUAUGGAAUAAAGCUGCCUGGAAAUAUUGGCCUGGUACCUUGUUUACAGGAUUCCCAGCAACCUUACCAGGGAGUCACCCCUCAAGUGCACCAUACCUGAGUCGAGAGCCACCUGAACCACAAGACCUAGAAACUCCAAGCCAUCCUGGCUUCUCCUACGAGUCACUCUCAGGCCUGAAGCUCUUAUUCCGGAGACACAAAGAUAAGUCCUUGGUGGGCUGGUGUCCCACCCCGUGGAGGUGCCGGGGCUCCUUCUCCUGUCGUCUCUCAUAACUAUACUUAUCCCCACGCUGACCUGUGCCCCCUGGAGUGCCUGUGUCUACAGCACCACCAGGCUACAGAGAGGCUAGUUGGUUAAACAAAAAGGGCCGAUCUGGAGUGGAGUCGAACAGGCUCUUCCCAGCCUGGUUUGGUUUCUAUCACCUUUGGGGGACCUCUUGGGGCUAUUCCGCUGCUUCCACUCUUAGGGCUUUGCAUCCUAAGCUGUCUGGUUUCCUGUGUUAGCAAAAGACUAGAAUCUAUUAAACUCCAAAUGGUAUUAACGAGGGAUAUGAGAGGUUAGGAGUCCAACUGGAUGACAAGCAAACCUACCUAAAAGUCGUUGGGCGUAAGCCCUGCUCCUCCACGGGCCCCUGGGACGCAGCCCUGCUCAGCUGGAAGUAGUUACGGAAGAUGCACCUUCACCUCCUGCCCCUCAACAAUGAGAGCAGGACAUUGUCAGAGGAGGAUUUUGUCCCCCAGGGAAGUCCCUGACAUGUUUCCGUGUCUAACGCUUUGUUCUUAAGCUGUGCUUGCUUAUAGGAACCCAGGCAGGACAAUGCCAGGUGGCCCAACCACAGAACCGGUCCAAACCAGAAAGGUUCAAGAUGGUGAUGGGGUGCUGUGUGCAAAAGAUGCCAUGUGCAAAAGGAAAUCGUGCAAAAGUGCCGUGUGCAAAAGGAAAUGUGUGCAAAAGUGCCGUGUGCAAAAGGAAAUGUGUGCAAAAGUGCCGUGUGCAAAAGGAAAUCGUGUGAAAGGAGCUCUGUGCAGGAAGGGAAGACCUUCGCAUGCCCCCGCCCCGAGCGAUGAGGCGGAGACCUCUCCCCUUCACAUCCACGAGAACCCUGCUCACCUUCCCUUCCAGGAGAAGGUGUUGGAGAGCAGGAGCUCUGCCUCCUCCAUUCGUUGAUGAGUGAAUAGCGUUUCUGCUCUGCUAUUCUGAACCCAGUCUUGUCCUAUUGGCAUGGGUGGCUCCGGGCAAAAGGACCCCUUUGCAGGUCACUGGUCCCUUGGGGCUCCGUAACACCUCCUCCACACGGCAGUGGUGCCAGAUGGACCUGGGUGCAGAAGAGCGCAGAGUCACCUGCUCGCUGUGGGGCCACAACAGCCCAAAGCGCCCCUGGGGGCCCAGGAUGGAGUCUUUCAGAGGACACACCAGCUUCAGGGGCCCCAGGAGAGACAAACCUUGAGCCUUCCUUGCACAGCUCAAGGCCUGAGGCAGGCAGAGGCCUCCAGCAGAGCCUCCAGGGUCCUUCCGGGUCAGAGCCAGCAGGGGGUCAGGGCUGCAGGGUCACACCAGUAGACACGCAGCCCGGCCAGGCAGCACCGAGUGGGAGGAGGGAGCCUGAGACGCGGGGUGGGGACAUGGGCAGACACAGGAGAAGCCACCUUACCCCCAAGUCCCCUGAACCUCCCCUCUGGGAAGCAGCCUUGCCUUCCUCAAAGCCCAUCAACGCCCCACCUGGGGAAGUGGCCAGGAAGGAAGUGCGGCCCCGCCCCCGACCCCUCACUGAGGGCUCCUGCUGCAAGUUCCUGCAUGUGAGCUGCAGAGUGUGUGCUCCGGUGGAACUGGGCAUCGCCCAUGGCAUCGCCAGGGCCUGGGAGCACAGGUGAGUGUGCAGGGCGCCAAGACUCCAAGAGGAAGAUGAGACGCAGAGCUGAGCCGGGAGCGUCGGCUCAGCUGAAACGGAGCCAGACUUACAGAGGGGGGAACCUGCCCAGGGCUUGGGAUGCAACGAUGCUCGAAAGCAUGCAAGAAGAGAUGUCCUACAGGAAUAAGGCAGAUACCAGUGCUGCUGUGGAAGAUGAUGGAGGAAGGAGUCAAAGGCUCAGAGGAAUGAGCCUGCCGGAGGGACGGACCGUGAGUGCUGGAAAACCCACCGUCUGCUCUGUGGGAGGGACGGGAGGCGCCUUCACCAAUGCAAGGAGAGCGUGCUGGUGAGACGCUCACAUGGCCAGUGCGAGGUGCAGCUGCGCUCCCUGAGAGCAGUGGGGUGACGGGACCCAACACAUCAGAGCCCGGUGGUGGCACUCUCCCUCAAGCAAGGCAGGUGCAGCCGGUUACUCCGUGAGCGGGAGAGGACUGGGCAGCCAACACCCAGUGUGACGCAGCGUUGAGGGCAGGCUGUUGAGGGGCUGAGGGCAACUCCCCAGGAAAAGCGCUGGCCUUGAUCUUGAGCCCAUCCCAGACCCGGGACCCACUGCCUGAUGGAGACACUGGGCCCUGAGCAAGGACCCAGAACAUCACGGCCGUGUGUGAAGUGACAGCUUCCUGGGCCUUCCCCAAAAGGACUGUGGGCGUUUACUCCAGCGAGGGAAACGCCGGUACUGGGAGAUCCCUGUGCCUGCCUUGACACCGGGGACCCGAGCUUUCUUAGGGCCCCUAAGAGAGCGAGGGUCCACGGAGUCCUGCUGUGGGUCCAGCUCACAGUGGAGCCCCGGGUCCCAGAGCCACCGAGAGGUGGUUGGCAGCCUCCUCGUUGGCUCCUUGGCUGCGGGGCAAGAAGCUAAGUGGAACCCCAGAAACUCCCCCACCUCUGGCCAAGACAGUCGAUUAAAACCCAGUGGCACUCCCAGAGAAGGGACAUCAGCAUGGCUCACGGUCCCACCCGGACAGAGCCCGGGCUCUUGUGGAUGGCAGUGAACUUACUACAGACUCAGCUGAGCAGCGGCUGCCCAUGGAGGCGGAUGUUGGCCUGCAGCCGGUGGUCUCAGAGUGCCUUCCUCUCCGAUGGGACAGUGGUGCCCCGGAGUCCUGCCUGGGGCUCGGUCCUCUGCCCAAACGUGGCCAGACGCUCCACAGACCAUCAUGUUGGCCUGCUAUAUGGACCGUGUGUUCGUCUUCUACAGCUGCCACAUCAGAGAUCCACACGCUGGCUGAAGCAACACGUGCAGUCCGAGGGCCGGGGCGGCGGGCUGGUCUCCUCAGGGGCGCUGAGGAGGAGCUGCUCCAGGCCUCUCCCCGGCUGCUGGGGCUCACUGGCAUCUUUGGUGCUCCUUGUCCUACAGACACAUCACCCUAACUCCGCCUCCAUCUCCACGUGGUGCUCUCCCUAUGUGUGUAUGUGUGUGUCUGUGUCCAAAUUUCCCCUUUUUAUUUUUAUUUAUUUUUAUAAGGG
This 11934-nucleotide long non-coding RNA is filed under the name Equus caballus (horse). Its description in RNAcentral is "lncRNA (ENSECAG00000046436.1)". The record is from RNAcentral. Lineage: Eukaryota; Metazoa; Chordata; Mammalia; Perissodactyla; Equidae.